GGUCUUAUUUUGAUUAUUAGAAAAAAUUUUUUUAGUAGUUUGAGCGAAAGUUAGGGGUUUCCUAGAGAGGACUGAGUACUGAGAAGGAAAGUUUAGUUAUUUAUUUAGAAUAUUGGGUUACUUAGUACCUUUUGUAUUAGGGUUGGUUUAUGUGGUUUUGCUUUUGUUAUUUCUCGAUGAGUGUCGGGCUAUUUUUCUUUGGUUUAUUCUCGUUGUAUAGAGUUGGAUAGGGGAUUAUAGGUAUGAAAUAUUAUUCAAGUUGCUUUUUAUCUGGUUCUUUAAGAAAUUUAAUAUUCGGUAAUAUUAUUAUGACGGUAGACAGGGAUUAGCUUGUUUAUUUUUUAUAUUGGGUUUAGGUUGAAGUUUGUUUGUUAAGUUGAUAGUGCUUAUUUUAAUGGAGUUAUUAUUGGGCGGGUUAAUUUUAUUAUUUUUUGUUUUUAUUUUUAUAUUAAGGUUAUAUUGUUAAUUUUUAGUGGUUUGUAAUAAUGAUUGUAUUAGUAAUAAUUUUUAUUGGUGUUGUUGUGGCUUAUUCUGGUUAUGUUAUUAAUUAGGUGGUGUCUUAAAUUAGAGCUGAUGAAUUAGGCAAUAUGAACUUCUGACUGUUUAGCAAAGACAUUGUUUUUUGUUGUGGUAAAAAAUAAGUUCUGUCCACUGCUAUUAGGUGAAGGGCUGCAGUAUUUUGACUGUAUGAAGGUAGCAUAAUCAUUAGCUUCUUAAUUAGAAGCUGGUAUGAAGGUGAAACAGGGGUUUGCUGUAUUUGUUCUAUUCGUUGAAUUUUAUUUUCAUGUGAAAAAUCAUGGUUGAUUUAAUGGGACAAGAAGACCCUAAUAAGUUUUAUUUUUUUUUCUUAAUGCGUGUAUAGGCUUUGAUUUACGCAAUUUAUUUAGGGGAGUUUGGCUGGGGCGGCAGUUUAUUUGACAUAGAUUAAUUUUUAACUUUUUGUGGCGUUUUUUGGACCUAGUUUGUUUAGAUUAGUGUAAAACUACUGUAGGGAUAACAGCGUGAUUUUUUUUGAGAGUUCUAAUUGACAAUAAA
Molecule: ribosomal RNA, 1035 nt
Filed under: Appalachioria sp. n. 4025
Lineage: Eukaryota; Metazoa; Arthropoda; Diplopoda; Polydesmida; Xystodesmidae
Description: partial large subunit ribosomal RNA
Source: RNAcentral